GUGUCAGCAGCCGCGGUAAUACGAAGGGGGCUAGCGUUGUUCGGAUUUACUGGGCGUAAAGCGCACGUAGGCGGAUUGUUAAGUCAGGGGUGAAAUCCCGGAGCUCAACUCCGGAACUGCCUUUGAUACUGGCAAUCUUGAGGCUGGAAGAGGUUAGUGGAAUUCCCAGUGUAGAGGUGAAAUUCGUAGAUAUUGGGAAGAACACCAGUGGCGAAGGCGGCUAACUGGUCCAGAUCUGACGCUGAGGUGCGAAAGCGUGGGGAGCAAACAGGAUUAGAUACCCCGGUAGUCC
This 292-nucleotide ribosomal RNA is filed under the name uncultured bacterium. RNAcentral describes it as "partial 16S ribosomal RNA". It matches the Rfam family "Bacterial small subunit ribosomal RNA", at positions 505 to 796 of the family's 1533-position model. The record is from RNAcentral.